GACGAACGCUGGCGGCGUGCUUAACACAUGCAAGUCGAACGGUAAGGCCCUUCGGGGUACACGAGUGGCGAACGGGUGAGUAACGCGUGGGUGAUCUGCCCUGCACUUCGGGAUAAGCCUGGGAAACUGGGUCUAAUACCGGAUAGGACUCCUGCCUGCAUGGGUGGGGGUGGAAAGCUUUUGCGGUGUGGGAUGGGCCCGCGGCCUAUCAGCUUGUUGGUGGGGUGAUGGCCUACCAAGGCGACGACGGGUAGCCGGCCUGAGCGGGGGACCGGCCACACGGGGACUGAGCUACGGCCCAGACUCCUACGGGAGGCAGCAGUGGGGAAUAUUGCACAAUGGGCGCAAGCCUGAUGCAGCGACGCCGCGUGAGGGAUGACGGCCUUCGGGUUGUAAACCUCUUUCAGCACAGACGAAGCGCAAGUGACGGUAUGUGCAGAAGAAGGACUGGCCAACUACGUGCCAGCCGCCGCCGUAA
RNAcentral lists this ribosomal RNA (478 nucleotides) under uncultured bacterium. RNAcentral describes it as "partial 16S ribosomal RNA". It matches the Rfam family "Bacterial small subunit ribosomal RNA", at positions 28 to 523 of the family's 1533-position model. The record is from RNAcentral.